CGGCAGCGGUGCCCCGGCCGGGACGUGCGUGGCCGAGGCCGCAUGCGGGGCGCCGUCCUGAGGACCUACGUGUGCAGCGUGGUCUCCAAGGCGCUGCUGGAGGUGGGCUUCAUGGCGGGCCAGUGCGCCCUGUACGGCUUCGAGCUGGAGCCCCUCUACGCCUGCCGCCGCUGGCCCUGCCCCAACGCCGUCAACUGCUACGUCUCCCGGCCCACCGAGAAGACCGUCUUCCUCCUCUUCAUGCUGGCGGUGGCCUGCGUCUCCCUGCUGCUCAACCUCGCCGAGAUCUACCACCUGGCCACCACCAAGUGCCGGCCGGGCGCUCGGCCCCGCGGGAAGCGGCGCCCGGGGGUCCUGGCGGUGUGAGCGCGGCCGUGGGAUGGGGCUGGGCCCCCCCGGCGUGCGCGGGGCCGCGGCGGCUCCGAGCACGCCCGGGGGUGGUGGGGCRGGAGCGCGGCCCGGCUGGGAGUUAAUAAACGCCCGCGGCACCUCGCUGGCCUCCUGCUCGGCGCGCGGCACGGCCCCCCCGGCGCUGCCACCUCGCCGGCUUCAGCGGGGUCCCAAAGGCUCCCUCCGAGGAUCUUGCAAUAUCUCCUGGCUGCCUGGCGCCUGCUCCCGGGGCUGCCGGGGUGGCCGCCGGCGGGUGGGGACAGGGCCACCAGUGCAUGGGGAGGGGGACGGGCACUAGGAAGCGGCACGCUGCAGCGGGGUGGAGGGGGUGGGCAGCACCUCGUGCACGGGGGCCGGCGGCGCACAGGGGGAGGGCAGCGCAUGCAGGGUGAGCAGCACAGUGCGGGCUGCGCAGGCAAGUGCACGGGGACAGGGUGCAUGGGGACAGGGUGCACAGGAAGGAGGUGCACGGGGACAGGGUGCAUGGGGACAGGGUGCACGGGGAUGGACACACAAGGUCAGGGUGCAGAGGGACAGAGUGUACAAGGGGAUGGACAUACAAGGUCAGGGUGCACAGGAAGGAGGUGCAUGGGGACGAGCAGACAGGGUCAGGGUGCCCAGGGAUGCACAGCACCCAGCCCACAAGGUCAGCGCACGGGGACAGGGUGCACAGGAGCCCAGGCUGGGAGGGCACAGUGGGCGCCUGCACCGCCGCUCCCGGCUCCUGCACCCAGGGCAGCGCCUCGCCCUCGGGAGAAAGCAGGGGCCACCAGCGGGUUUC
Molecule: long non-coding RNA, 1171 nt
Filed under: Apteryx haastii (Great spotted kiwi)
Lineage: Eukaryota; Metazoa; Chordata; Aves; Apterygiformes; Apterygidae
Description: lncRNA (ENSAHAG00000014325.1)
Source: RNAcentral